AUUGCAAAUGAUGAUAACAAGACAGGGACAUCAGAACUCCAGUUUUGGAGUAGGGAUUGACCAAGUCUAUAAUGGGAAUCUCUUUGAUGCAAU
This is a small nucleolar RNA of Lactuca sativa (garden lettuce), 93 nucleotides long. RefSeq annotates it as small nucleolar RNA R44/J54/Z268 family. NCBI's taxonomy places the organism in Eukaryota, Viridiplantae, Streptophyta, Magnoliopsida, Asterales, Asteraceae. The record is from RefSeq and is a predicted model, not a curated record.